AUGGCCAAAGGUUUUCAGCCUCUGAUCCAACUCCAUGCUACCUGGCUUUUUGGGUGCUCUGUGAGCUGUUUGCCAGCAAUUUUUGCUCACCCAUUUGGGCCAGUCUGCAGUUCAAAGGACUUUCUCUUUUAUUUCCUUACUUUCAGGAUCUUUCCUGUGGGUGAAGCAGAAGUCCACAGCCUGCUGGGAGCAGUACAGCUCUGUAGCAGGCAGAUUUUGGGGGUCCUGACAGCAGUGCCUCCAGUCAGUCUGGCCUGUAGACAUCUGCACCAUCUUUGCUGGUAUGAGGUGUGCACUCAUUGCACGUGCAUAGUGACAGACCUGGGUGUCCCUCCUUCAGCCUGUCCAGGAUCUCACAGGAAAACAUUGAUUGGAUGGAGAGCAUGUGGGUGCAGGAGCACCUGCAGGAACAAGUGGCAGGAGCAGCCACAGGGUGUGCAGCCAUGGAUGGCAUCUGCAUUAGCUGACUACAGGUUCCAGCUGCUUUCCAGACCACUUCAACCCCCAGGAUGGUGUCAAAUAUUCAACCGCCUAAAGCAGGAUAUACUGCAGCCAUUAAAAAUAGUCUUUGUAAGAUAAGACGUAAAACAUCCUGAUAAAAAGAGACAAAGAGCAAUGAGUAUUUCUUAAUGGUUCCCAGAAGAGAAGCAGAGAUGAAGAAAAUAGAGAGACAAGAGAUCACAAUCACCAUCAGCUCCUAAUAAGGACCAAAAGUCAAGACUCAAAAGCAGCACACAUUUCCUGAGGUAACAACACAGGAGCCAUCAUGAGACCUCAGAUGUGAGUGUCCCUUUAACUCUGCAUCAGUAUUCAGUGUCCUUGCACAGACUGCUUGCAUUUUGGUGCUUUCAUCCUGGACAGACUGCUCAGAUGCUCUCAGCUUGAAUAUUCUUAUGAAUAAGAGGCAAUUGGCUUAGUUUCAAAGUAAGUACUCCCUCUUCCCAUAGGGUCCCACAGCAAGCUUUGCUGUGUUGUUGCUAGAUGAGCUUUGGCUCUGAGAUUUCUGAUUUGCUUUUUUUGCCAUCUGCUGCUGUCACCUGGGGCUCCAGGAGGAAGGACAUUGCUGCUGCUGGUAACAGUCCCAGCCUUUACACUGAAACAGUGGAUGCUCAGCAUACCAAGACCCUGUUGUGGUGUGUUAUACAUGUUGCCAGCUCCUCAUGAGUGCCUGGUGUGUGAACUGGCCUGUGGUGCCAGGUGUCUCUUGUUAUUGAUGUGUGAUGUAAGCACGAUAGCAGCAGGGGCCUUGAGAGUUUUGGAACAGACCAGAAGCAAAGGAUCCAGGACUAUAAAUAACUUGCUGGCAGUGGGUUAGGUGUGCAGCCUCAAAAGCUGGGCAAAGCCUGUGUUAAGUAUUCCAAAGAAAAGCAGCAGCAGCUGAGCAAUGAGAAACACAUCUGAGCAACAGGGUCAGGGUCAGGCACCUGCUGCGGUGUGGGAAAUACCUGCCAGUGCUGCACAGGAAAGCAGGUGGAGGACAAGGGCUAAGAGCUGCCUAGAACCUCAGACACCUUGAAGAAGUGCCAGGAUGUGAUUCUGGGGGCCUCUGUGCCACAGCUGUGGGGCUGUGGGUAGCUUUGCUCCACACAGCUCUGCUCUCCUGGCAACCACAUGUACCUGAGGUUGGAAAGGAACUUUGGAGAUCAUCUGGUCCAAGCCCCCUGCUCAAGCAAGGCCACACAGAACCAAUCACCCAGAACAUGUCCAGAUGGUAUUUGAACGUCUCUAAGGAUAGCUAUUCUCAUCAUCUGCCUGGUUUCAAAAUACUUUUGAGCUGGCAAUAGCGGGUGCAUGGUGCCGUGAGUGUGUCUGAGCAUAGCUUUUUGCGCCCAUCUAAUGCUCCAGUUCUCAAUGGGUUUAAUGUGUAUGUGUCAAUGUGUCUAAUCAUGAUUUUGGGCAGUAUUAUAAUUAGCUGCUUUAAAGGUGGGCCAGUGGCAGUGGUUUAGGCAUGCUGAUUUUCAAAGCAGCUAAUAUUGGAGAAGUAGACUCUCAGGCAGAGAGCCACAUCAGCCAGUCACAGCCCUGCUGCUUGCAGUAGCCAAUACUGACUCUUAUAUUCAGCUGCCCUUUACAUGUUAAAUGCCCUCUCCACCUCUGCAAUCAAGAGGGCAUCUUGUCCACCAGGAAUUGUCACUGCAGAGAGAUCACAACUUGGAGGGCUUCUAAGUAGAUCUCUCUAAGAAAUCCCAGUUUCCAUUCCUGUUCUCUGUUGUCUGGGCAAUCCUUGUUACAUCAACAAGGUAUGCUGAGACCUUGUUUAUCCAGGAUUCUUGCUGAGAAGUACUACAUGGCUCCUGUAAAUUAGAGGUAACCAAAACACAGUCAAUUGCAGAUUGUGUUUUCUAGGGGUAUGAUGGUGAUUUAGAAUGAUUGUGACAGGGAAGGACCCCUUGCUCAAUCCUUUUACUCAAAGCCAGUGAAGAUCAGAAUUCACACUUUAUCAUCACUCAGGGAUUUGUUCAGUUGAAGUGGAAGCUGUAGUCUUCCUUCUAUUGUUUCAGAGACAUCCAACUUAUCCCCUUAGCUUUGUGAUCUCUCACAGAUCUCCUGCUUAGACCUAAAUUUGGAAAAACACCCAGGCCUGAUAAAUAUGUGAGGCAAAUUUCUAGCAGCUGGAUGAGAAAGCAAGUUUUAGAGAUACAGGCAGAAAGUCAGUGUUUUCCACCUGAAAUGAGCAAAACUUGGCCAUUCUGCAGAACAUCAGAUGUUAUCUACCUGAACUUGUGCAAAGAGUUUGACACUGUCUCACAUGACAUCUCUAGAAACCGGAGAGACAUGGAUGCCCCAGUCCUAGAAGUGUUCUGAGUCAGGCUCAGGAGGCGGCUCUGAGCAAACUGGUCUGGGGGAGGGUGUCCCUGCCCAUGGCAGGGGAAGUUAGAAUUAGAUAGUUUUUAAAGGUCCCUUUCAACCCCAGCCAUUCUGUUUCUGUGGCAUUCUGAGGCUGCCUCUGUGGACUUGUUUCAUCAACACAUCCUACCUUACCUGUGCCAUUGAUGUCCUUACACAGCCUUUUCACUUCCUUGUGCCAAGCACAUGCCCAGACACUGAUGAUUGAUGAGUGGAUGCAUUAAAUUCAUAAAGACCCCAGUGCCAGGGCUGACCAUACCACUGCCUCCUCUGUAAGAACACAUCAGAUCUGGUUGUACUACAGUCAGAAAGACAAAGAAAUUUGGACCACAAACAGAAGAAUGAUGUCUUUUCCCUUCCAGCCCCGGUCUCUUCUCUGGCACAUCUUACUCUUCCUUGGGCCCAUGUAUCUCUUACAGUAUUUCUGGAAAUUGAGAGAACAUGCUGCAGAGCCAUCUUCUCCCACAUUGCUGGAACACAUGCUGUUCUGGGGUGGUGUGACCUCAGACCCCAGACCCCCUUCAUGAGUGCUGCACUUCACUGUGAAGACUUGUCAGCACAUUUCCCUUAGAGGGGUUGCUAAAUCCACAUGGGAAAGAGAUACAGUAGCUAUGACUUUUAAUUUUGUUUCUGUUCCAGAUUGUGUUUUUGGAAAUAAAACUGAGGCAUUUGCUAGGUGGGGCGCUGCU
This is a long non-coding RNA of Cyanistes caeruleus (blue tit), 3536 nucleotides long. Lineage: Eukaryota; Metazoa; Chordata; Aves; Passeriformes; Paridae. The record is from Ensembl.